This 422-nucleotide ribosomal RNA is filed under the name uncultured bacterium. RNAcentral's name for it is "bacterial SSU rRNA". It matches the Rfam family "Bacterial small subunit ribosomal RNA", at positions 355 to 774 of the family's 1533-position model. The record is from RNAcentral.
UGAGGAAUAUUGGGCAAUGCCCGAAAGGGUGACCCAGCGACGCCGCGUGGAGGAUGAAGGUCGUAAGAUUGUAAACUCCUGUUAGAGGGGAAGAAUAACUAAGUUUGGAGCUUAGUAUGACUGUACCCUCAGAGAAAGCCCCGGCUAACUACGUGCCAGCAGCCGCGGUAAUACGUAGGGGGCAAGCGUUGUCCGGAUUUACUGGGUGUAAAGGGCGCGCAGGCGGAAUGGAAAGUCAGUGGUGAAAUCCUACAGCUUAACUGUAGAACUGCCUUUGAUACUUUCAUUCUUGAGUUCGGGAGAGAGAGACGGAAUUCCAGGUGUAGUGGUGAAAUACGUAGAUAUCUGGAAGAACACCAGUUGCGAAGGCGGUCUCUUGGUCCGAUACUGACGCUGAGGCGCGAAAGCGUGGGGAGCAAACA